This is a long non-coding RNA of Nymphaea colorata (pocket water lily), 654 nucleotides long. RefSeq lists it as uncharacterized. NCBI's taxonomy places the organism in Eukaryota, Viridiplantae, Streptophyta, Magnoliopsida, Nymphaeales, Nymphaeaceae. The transcript has 2 exons. The record is from RefSeq and is a predicted model, not a curated record.
UCUACUCUGUUUGUUAUUCUUUUUACCCUUUCUUUGUAGCAUAGCUCUAUUUCUGUACAUGGUAUCAGAGCACCAUGUCCGCAACUGGUCCUGAGUCAUCUUCUCUUGGUGGAAUACUGCAUACAGGAUCAGAGUCUGUUGGAGAUGUUAACUUUGGGGAUUCUUGCAAUCCUUAUUACUUGCAUCUUUCAGACAAUCCUGAAGUUGUGUUGGUUUCACAACUCUUGAAUGGAGAUACCUACCCUACUUGGAGCCGUGCAAUGACUAUGGCGUUGUCAGCCAAAAACAAGCUAGGGUUUGUGGAUGGAAGUCUUCCCCAACCAGACAUUGCUGCACGAGAGUUUAUGGCUUAGAGGCGCUGCAAUCAUAUGGACCCGACUUCAAUGAUGAUGACUGGACUCAGUGAGUUGCUGAAUGGGUUGGGCUCUACAUCUUCAGAUCUCUUGAUGUUUCAAACAGUCCAGUAGCCUUGAACACGACCACAGAUCAAAAAGAUAUCUGGCAUCUUCGACUUGGCCAUCCAUCUCAGUUUAAGAAUUCAGUUUUUCUAGAAUAUGAUAAGUCUAUCGUUUUUUCUAAGUUUUUUUGUGAAACUUGUAAGCUUGCAAAACAGACUAGAUUACCGUUUAAUAGAAGUGAAUCUGUUUUAAAUAA